CAAAGGAUCCCUAACGAAGGGAUGAUUCAUAUAAAGCGUGUAGGGCGCCCCUGGCGGCGGGCAGCAGUACUACUGGCAACAACACAGCUGGUCCGGCCUUCACAACAUGAUACCUCUCCGGCUCAUAAUAAAAUCUGUUCCUGUAUUAAGCAGAGGCUUUAAAACCUCUGCAAAAUAUGGAGGAGAGUGGACUUACCGUACGGCUCCUCCACCUCCACCAAAAUCAAUAAUAAUGAAGGCCGAAAUAAUGGGAGCAUUUAUGUGGUGGUGGAUCCUCUACCAUCUUUUUACAGAACCAGAACAUAUCACUGUGAGUAUAUCUUAUACAGUAUUUUCAAGGUGUGUCUUUGUUCAGUGACUGACUACUAAAUGCAAGAGUUGAAGCUACCCUUCCCUUCAUUUACAGAAGUAUUUGCCAGAAGCUUGCAAUAUUUUAAUUUACCACUGCUAAUACUUUCCUCAUUGACUUUUC
This is a non-coding RNA of Cherax quadricarinatus, 472 nucleotides long. Lineage: Eukaryota; Metazoa; Arthropoda; Malacostraca; Decapoda; Parastacidae. The record is from RefSeq and is a predicted model, not a curated record.